This 30-nucleotide non-coding RNA is filed under the name Mus musculus (house mouse). The record is from RNAcentral. Lineage: Eukaryota; Metazoa; Chordata; Mammalia; Rodentia; Muridae.
UUUGUUUUUGUGAUUGUGGCUUAUACAGAC